UCUUGGCUAAAUAGAACCUCACCUGCUC
Molecule: non-coding RNA, 28 nt
Filed under: Homo sapiens (human)
Lineage: Eukaryota; Metazoa; Chordata; Mammalia; Primates; Hominidae
Source: RNAcentral